This is a non-coding RNA of Danio rerio (zebrafish), 311 nucleotides long. The record is from Ensembl. NCBI's taxonomy places the organism in Eukaryota, Metazoa, Chordata, Actinopteri, Cypriniformes, Danionidae.
UGUUGCCUCCCAGCAAAAAUGUUUCUGGUUCGAGCCUCGGCUGGGUCAGUUGGCAUUUCUGUGUGAAGUUUGCAUGUUCUCCCCGUGUUGGCGUGGGUUUCCUCCGGGUGCUCCGGUUUCCCCCACAAGACAUGCGGUACAGGUGAAUUGGCUCAGAUUGUGAUGGACCUGGAAUGCGACACCAGUUACUCUUAAGUCAAGAACCAAAUGAAGCACCAGAGUACAGAUUAUGGAGGUUCCUUGUAAAGAUGAACCCAGGGAAGGAUCGAAAGUGGAGAAGACCAGAUCAAGAAAGACCACAUCAAGAUCUG